GCGUGUUCUCUCCUGAGCGUGAAGCGGGCGGGCGGUGCUGCUUGUGCAGGAGCCGCCCGCCAUUGAUGACCGUUCCCGUCCUACUUGUUGGGUCUGGGAGGGAGAGAACACAGGCUGAGUGGU
This is a small nucleolar RNA of Meleagris gallopavo (turkey), 123 nucleotides long. Its record names the gene U3. It matches the Rfam family "Small nucleolar RNA U3". From Rfam's summary of the family: Small nucleolar RNAs (snoRNAs) are involved in the processing and modification of rRNA in the nucleolus. There are two main classes of snoRNAs: the box C/D class, and the box H/ACA class. NCBI's taxonomy places the organism in Eukaryota, Metazoa, Chordata, Aves, Galliformes, Phasianidae. The record is from Ensembl.